GAGGUUAUAGCUCAGUUGUAGAGUGCCUGCUUAGCAUGCACAAAGUUCUGGGUUCAAUCCCCAGUACCUCCA
This 72-nucleotide transfer RNA is filed under the name Camelus bactrianus (Bactrian camel). It matches the Rfam family "tRNA". Rfam says of the family: Transfer RNA (tRNA) molecules are approximately 80 nucleotides in length. Their secondary structure includes four short double-helical elements and three loops (D, anti-codon, and T loops). RNAcentral also lists the same sequence under 2 other names. The record is from Rfam by way of RNAcentral. Lineage: Eukaryota; Metazoa; Chordata; Mammalia; Artiodactyla; Camelidae.